This 169-nucleotide unclassified non-coding RNA is filed under the name uncultured Neocosmospora. RNAcentral's name for it is "sequence contains ITS2". Lineage: Eukaryota; Fungi; Ascomycota; Sordariomycetes; Hypocreales; Nectriaceae. The record is from RNAcentral.
CAACCCUCAGGCCCCCGGGCCUGGCGUUGGGGAUCGGCGGAGCCCCCCGUGGGCACACGCCGUCCCCCAAAUACAGUGGCGGGCCCCCCGCAGCUUCCAUCGCGUAGUAGCUAACACCUCGCGACUGGAGAGCGGCGCGGCCACGCCGUAAAACACCCAACUCUUCUGA